CAGCCGCCGCGGGAAUACGUAGGGGGCAAGCGUUAUCCGGAUUUACUGGGUGUAAAGGGAGCGCAGACGGCAGUGCAAGUCUGAAGUGAAAGGCGUGGGCUCAACCCAUGAACUGCUUUGGAAACUGUAUAGCUUGAGUGUCGGAGGGGUAAGCGGAAUUCCUAGUGUAGCGGUGAAAUGCGUAGAUAUUAGGAGGAACACCGGAGGCGAAGGCGGCUUACUGGACGACAACUGACGUUGAGGCUCGAAGGCGUGGGGAGCAAACAGGAUUAGAUACCCGCGUAGUCCCUGUCUCUUAUAA
Molecule: ribosomal RNA, 301 nt
Filed under: uncultured bacterium
Lineage: Bacteria
Description: partial 16S ribosomal RNA
Rfam family: Bacterial small subunit ribosomal RNA
Source: RNAcentral